GAUGAAGAACGUAGCGAAAUGCGAUAAGUAAUGUGAAUUGCAGAAUUCAGUGAAUCAUCGAAUCUUUGAACGCACAUUGCGCCCGCCAGUAUUCUGGCGGGCAUGCCUGUUCGAGCGUCAUUUCAACCCUCAAGACCCCUUCGGGGGACUUGGUGUUGGGGACCGGCACAGGGGCCUGCCUGCUUGUCUUGCAGCGCCCUCGCCGCCCCCGAAAUGAAUUGGCGGCCUCGUCGCGGCCUCCCCUGCGUAGUAGCACAAACCUCGCAACGGGAACGUGACGGCGGCCACUGCCGUAAAACAACCCAAUUUUAUUAGAGUUGACCUCGAAUCAGGUAGGAAUACCCGCUGAACUUAAGCAUAUCAAUAAGCGAGGA
RNAcentral lists this unclassified non-coding RNA (374 nucleotides) under soil metagenome. Its description in RNAcentral is "partial contains 5.8S ribosomal RNA, internal transcribed spacer 2, and large subunit ribosomal RNA". The stretch from base 1 to 120 matches the Rfam family "5.8S ribosomal RNA", at positions 35 to 154 of the family's 154-position model. The record is from RNAcentral.